RNAcentral lists this long non-coding RNA (556 nucleotides) under Chlamydomonas reinhardtii. Its description in RNAcentral is "long non-coding RNA (CREI_LNC001466)". The record is from RNAcentral. Lineage: Eukaryota; Viridiplantae; Chlorophyta; Chlorophyceae; Chlamydomonadales; Chlamydomonadaceae.
AGCAGUCCCAUACGUUCCAGUAGUAACGCCUGGUAAUUGCUCAUCUGCAUAAGCCGUGAUAACGGACUGUACGUGACUGAGUUUAAGAGGCAACGGCUGAACAUGUGCGAGCGGACUCGUCUAGCGAGCGAUGCUAACAGAUUUUUUCAAGCAUAAAGAUAUCCUGACUUACAGAGGGAGGGGCCGACAAGGACGCUGGCAGCCUCCCGAAGACCUCGGCCUCUGUGAGCGAAAAAGGAAGAACAAGCGUGAAGCCUGCAUCCUGCAAAUUCAGCUACUAGAGCAGGCGACUAGUCGCUGAAGGCGCUAGAGAACAAUCACUAGACGCACCCGUCCGCAUUGUCGCAAACUCGACUGUCUCAUUCCACCCUCUAUGUGCAGUGCCAUCUCCAGCUGACAGCGGCCCUCUUUGGCUUGGGGGCAACCGGCUCGGAAAAGAACCCAUUCUGGCGGACUUCUAAGGAAGACUUCAAUUGUAGGCCAAUGUAUCUGUUUGAGUAGUUUAUGGGAUAGUUGUUCUGGUUGUUGUGUGCUUGGGGCUCUAUUCUCGCUGGCC